UACGAAGGCCUCAAGCGUUAUCCGGAUUUAUUGGGCGUAAAGCGUUCAACGGCGGUUUGUUAAGUCAGUGGUUAAAUCUUGGGGCUCAACCUCAAGGCCGCCACUGAAACUGGCAAACUCGAGGGCAGGAGAGGCAGACGGAAUUACCGGUGUAGUAGUAAAAUGCGUUAAUAUCGGUAAGAACACCAAUUGCGAAGGCAGUCUGCUAGAAUGCAUCUGACGCUCAAGAACGAAAGCGUGGGGAGCGAAUGGG
This 253-nucleotide ribosomal RNA is filed under the name uncultured bacterium. Its description in RNAcentral is "partial 16S ribosomal RNA". It matches the Rfam family "Bacterial small subunit ribosomal RNA", at positions 524 to 776 of the family's 1533-position model. The record is from RNAcentral.